GUGCCAGCAGCCGCGGUAAUACCGGCAGCUCAAGUGAUGUCCCAUAUUAUUGGGCCUAAAGCGUCCGUAGCUGGCCGACCAAGUCUCCCGGGAAAUCCGCCCGCCAAACGGGUGGGCGUCCGGUGGAAACUGGCCGGCUUGGAACCGGAAGGCUCAGAGAGUACGUCCGGGGUAGGAGUGAAAUCCCGUAAUCCCGGACGGACUACCGAUGGCGAAAGCACUCUGAGAAGACGGCUUCGACACUGAGGUGCGAAAGCGAGGGGAGCAAACAGGAUUAGAUACCCUUGUAGUCC
RNAcentral lists this ribosomal RNA (293 nucleotides) under uncultured bacterium. Its description in RNAcentral is "partial 16S ribosomal RNA". It matches the Rfam family "Archaeal small subunit ribosomal RNA", at positions 455 to 747 of the family's 1478-position model. The record is from RNAcentral.